UAACGAUACGGGACUCAUCCGAGGCCCCGUAAUCGGAAUGAGUACACUUUAAAUCCUUUAACGAGGACCCAUUGGAGGGCAAGUCUGGUGCCAGCAGCCGCGGUAAUUCCAGCUCCAAUAGCGUAUAUUAAAGUUGUUGCGGUUAAAAAGCUCGUAGUUGAAUCUGUGUGCCACGCUGUCGGUUCAUCGCUCGCGAUGUUUAACUGACAUGAUUGUGGGACGUCCUACCGGUGGGCUUAGCUCCUCACGGGGCGGUCCAGCUAAUAUCCCAUCGCGGUGCUCUUAAACGAGUGUCGAGGUGGGCCGGUACGUUUACUUUGAACAAAUUAGAGUGCUCAAAGCAGGCUAUGUUCGCCUGAAUACAUGUGCAUGGAAUAAUGGAAUAGGACCUCGGUUCUAUUUUGUUGGUUUUCGGAACCCCGAGGUAAUGAUUAAUAGGGACAGAUGGGGGCAUUCGUAUUGCGACGUUAGAGGUGAAAUUCUUGGAUCGUCGCAAGACGGACAGAAGCGAAAGCAUUUGCCAAAAAUGUUUUCAUUAAUCAAGAACGAAAGUUAGAGGUUCGAAGGCGAUCAGAUACCGCCCUAGUUCUAACCAUAAACGAUGCCAGCUAGCGAUCCGCCGAAGUUCCUCCGAUGACUCGGCGGGCAGCUUCCGGGAAACCAAAGCUUUUGGGUUCCGGGGGAAGUAUGGUUGCAAAGCUGAAACUUAAAGGAAUUGACGGAAGGGCACCACCAGGAGUGGAGCCUGCGGCUUAAUUUGACUCAACAC
RNAcentral lists this ribosomal RNA (769 nucleotides) under Ufens sp. D1201. Its description in RNAcentral is "SSU rRNA". It matches the Rfam family "Eukaryotic small subunit ribosomal RNA", at positions 477 to 1206 of the family's 1831-position model. Lineage: Eukaryota; Metazoa; Arthropoda; Insecta; Hymenoptera; Trichogrammatidae. The record is from RNAcentral. RNAcentral also lists the same sequence under 1 other name.